CGCUGCUGUACCUUUUAAUGUCUGAUGUUUGCAGACAGUGGCUUGUCAGCCUUCGCUCGAGCGCUAGUGGUUGUUGAUCUGGGCAACAGACAUUGCCACUGCACCUCCCACCAAGUAGUUUCGAAAUCCCCUCAGAUUAUUAUUGAUAGGCACUUAAGUUUACCUAAUCCUUCCUUAAUUGGCAUCUAACAUCUUUUUUGCUGUGGCCAAUUCCCAUAAAGUCCCUUUGCCUACUGUACGUGUAACUCAAAAACAAUUUUAGGCUCUGUUGGUCUGCAGUAGGUCCACAAAAAUCAAAUAAUUAAUUCCACAUCUAUAGGAGUAUUAUGUUAAAUAUUUUGCCCUCUCUACUAUGACCACCACCCAAGUUUACAAAACUGAACAAUUUAUAUUUUCUUCAGUUACUAAAACCAAUUUAAAUACCCUCCAGCCGUAAGAACUUUUCCUGAAUCAUACAGAACAAUUAAAUUCAUAUGAAAUUGAUAUAUGUGCCUAAAGGGGCAUGAGAACUUCUCUUACACUAUAUUGGUUUUGUAUAGGAUGGAGGGAGUACAUGACACUUUGUAACGAAAGAAUGACCCUGUUAUACUUCUAAGGAGUUGAGGCACUGAUAGCUCCAAUAAUCGCCAAGAACUCGUCAACGAAGAACAGAGGGGGGGGGGGGGGGGACAGGCAGAGGCAGAGGAGGAACUGCAAGGCAGGCGUGGGCAAUUUACUUUUGAUGAUUGCGCAUCUGACAAGAGUGUGCAAGGACAGGCACUGACAUGAGGCACAUGGUGCUGAAUCAGUGAUGAGGGGCAGCCAUGUUGCAGCUGUCCAUUGGGUGCACUCUGGUGGCCCCCAUUCCUUUCGGGUCUGGUUCUUUUUGUUAACCCGACUCCUUCAAAAUGUACUCCUACUACUCCCUACUUUUUCAUCAGUUUUGUCACAUAAAUAAAAAGCCCAAAACCCGAACGACAAUUCACGCCUCCGUCUCCGUUGUUUCGAUGGCAGUUUAGCAGCUGCCGACGACGUCGGCCGGAGCGGAGGAGGAGGAGGUGUUUGAACCCAACACACCGCCGUGCGGCCGCGUCAAAAAUGUGUGCUGCCGCCGCAGCAUGUGCAGCUACAAUUGCAUCGCCGCGUUUGCGUAUCGUAUCGUAUCAUCACCGGCCUUGUCGUGUGUCCCCCUUUGUAUGAGCUGUUGUGGUCCGUCCGGUCCUAUGUUUGACAAACAAAACAUGCCAGCAGUAAAAAAAAAAAGUACGUACACACAAACUAGUCACGUACUGUACGCACUCCUACUGCAGUACUGCACUAGCACAACAAAGUAGCAAACAGUGGUAGCUAGAUCAAGCGAGUGACUUUGGCUUGUUUGAUCAACUUAAAAUUAUGAGAAACUGACGGCCAUUUUGGAUUAGUAUAUAUGACGGUUUUGUUUUGAAGCCAAA
This is a long non-coding RNA of Oryza sativa Japonica Group (Japanese rice), 1430 nucleotides long. RefSeq lists it as uncharacterized. Lineage: Eukaryota; Viridiplantae; Streptophyta; Magnoliopsida; Poales; Poaceae. The record is from RefSeq and is a predicted model, not a curated record.